Molecule: ribosomal RNA, 443 nt
Filed under: uncultured bacterium
Lineage: Bacteria
Description: bacterial SSU rRNA
Rfam family: Bacterial small subunit ribosomal RNA
Source: RNAcentral
AACGAACGCUGGCGGCAGGCCUAACACAUGCAAGUCGAACGCUCCGCAAGGGGAGUGGCAGACGGGUGAGUAACGCGUGGGAACCUUCCCAGUGGUACGGAAUAGCCCAGGGAAACUUGGGGUAAUACCGGAUAAGCCCGAGAGGGGAAAGAUUUAUCGCCAUUGGAUGGGCCCGCGUCGGAUUAGCUAGUUGGUGAGGUAAAGGCUCACCAAGGCGACGAUCCGUAGCUGGUUUGAGAGAACGACCAGCCACACUGGGACUGAGACACGGCCCAGACUCCUACGGGAGGCAGCAGUGGGGAAUAUUGGACAAUGGGCGCAAGCCUGAUCCAGCCAUGCCGCGUGAGUGACGAAGGCCUUCGAGUUGUAAACUACUUUUAGUCAGGGACGAUAAUGACGGUACCUGCAGAAUAAGCUCCGGCUAACUUCGUGCCAGCAGCCGC